Molecule: ribosomal RNA, 547 nt
Filed under: uncultured bacterium
Lineage: Bacteria
Description: bacterial SSU rRNA
Rfam family: Bacterial small subunit ribosomal RNA
Source: RNAcentral
GGGGAAUUUUGGACAAUGGGCGAAAGCCUGAUCCAGCAAUGCCGCGUGCAGGAAGAAGGCCUUCGGGUUGUAAACUGCUUUUGUACGGAACGAAACGGUCCUUUCUAAUAAAGAGGGCUAAUGACGGUACCGUAAGAAUAAGCACCGGCUAACUACGUGCCAGCAGCCGCGGUAAUACGUAGGGUGCGAGCGUUAAUCGGAAUUACUGGGCGUAAAGCGUGCGCAGGCGGUUCUAUAAGACAGAUGUGAAAUCCCCGGGCUCAACCUGGGAAUGGCAUUUGUGACUGUAGAGCUAGAGUACGGUAGAGGGGGAUGGAAUUCCGCGUGUAGCAGUGAAAUGCGUAGAUAUGCGGAGGAACACCGAUGGCGAAGGCAAUCCCCUGGACCUGUACUGACGCUCAUGCACGAAAGCGUGGGGAGCAAACAGGAUUAGAUACCCUGGUAGUCCACGCCCUAAACGAUGUCAACUGGUUGUUGGGUGCAUUAGUACUCAGUAACGAAGCUAACGCGUGAAGUUGACCGCCUGGGGAGUACGGCCGCAAGGUUG